GACGAACGCUGGCGGCGUGCUUAACACAUGCAAGUCGAACGGAAAGGCCUGCUUUCCCUUGUGGAUUGCGGGUACUCGAGUGGCGAACGGGUGAGUAACACGUGAGUGAUCUGCCCCCAACUUGGGUAUAAGCCUGGGAAACUGGGUCUAAUUCCCGAUAGGACUGCAGGGUGGUGCCUGUGGUGGAAAACGAUUUUCUAGUGGUUGGGGAUGAGCUCGCGGCCUAUCAGCUUGUUGGUGGGGUAAUGGCCUACCAAGGCGGCGACGGGUAGCCGGCCUGGGAGGGUGGACGGCCACAUUGGGACUGAGAUACGGCCCCGACUCCUACGGGAGGCAGCAGUGGGGAAUAGUGGACAAUGGGCGGAAGCCUGAUGCAGCGACGCAGCGUGGGGGAUGACGGGCUUCGGGUUGUAAACUCCUUUCGACCGCGAGGAAGCCACCUGGUUGGAAGGGUGGUGACGGUAGUGGUAGAAGAAGCACCGGCUAACUACGUG
This 494-nucleotide ribosomal RNA is filed under the name uncultured bacterium. RNAcentral's name for it is "partial 16S ribosomal RNA". It matches the Rfam family "Bacterial small subunit ribosomal RNA", at positions 28 to 507 of the family's 1533-position model. The record is from RNAcentral.